GCGACGUUAGCUCAGUUGGUUAGAGCACUGGUUUGUGGUUCCAGGGGUCGUCGGUUCGAAUCCGAUACGUCGCC
Molecule: transfer RNA, 74 nt
Filed under: Flavobacteriales bacterium
Lineage: Bacteria; Pseudomonadati; Bacteroidota; Flavobacteriia; Flavobacteriales
Description: tRNA-His
Rfam family: tRNA
About the family: Transfer RNA (tRNA) molecules are approximately 80 nucleotides in length. Their secondary structure includes four short double-helical elements and three loops (D, anti-codon, and T loops).
Source: RNAcentral